UGGGGGCAGAUGGCCGCGCAGUGCACCGAGGAACAGUCUCAAGUUUCAGAGGAAUCACCAUUCCAGACUGUUCAGCUUCCAGAGUGCCAUUCACAUAGGAGAUGAGGAGCAAAGUCAUGAGCUUACUACUGCGCCAUCUGCUUUCCCACCCUCCUAUCUCCACACUCUUGCACCUGAGGAUGCAGUUGCUCAUUCUGUUGUUAC
Molecule: long non-coding RNA, 204 nt
Filed under: Vigna radiata
Lineage: Eukaryota; Viridiplantae; Streptophyta; Magnoliopsida; Fabales; Fabaceae
Description: long non-coding RNA (VRAD_LNC006394)
Source: RNAcentral